UUGGGUUGCUGGAUUUCUGAAGUAAGGGU
This 29-nucleotide non-coding RNA is filed under the name Homo sapiens (human). Lineage: Eukaryota; Metazoa; Chordata; Mammalia; Primates; Hominidae. The record is from RNAcentral.